GAGUGCAGUGGCGCUAUCUCGGCUCACUCCAACCUCCGCCUCCUGGGUUCAAGCAAUUCUCCUGCCUCAGCCUCCCAAGUAACUGGGACUACAGGCAUGUGCCACCACGCCCAGCUAAUUUUUGUAUUUGUAGUAAAAAUGGGGGAGUUUCACCAUGUUGGCUAGACUGGUCCUAGACUCCUGAGCUCAAGUGAUCUGCCUGCCUCGGCUUCCCAAAGUGCUGGGAUUACAGGCAUGAGCCACCAUGCCUGGCCUGGGGAUUAUACUGAAACAUGAGAUUUGAAGGGGACAAACACCCAAACUCUAUCACCUUUUCAAUACCAGCCAUGUAUAUAUAUGCCUCUGCUUUAACACAAGCCAGAUAUCCUUUCAUUUUAUCGUAGCAACAUUCAAUGGUAAACAUCCCCUGUCUUUCCCACUUUGAGCCUUCAAGCUGCCUAUGCUCUGUGAGGAAGCCCCUGUCCCACCCCAGAUCUGGGGCUGCCUGUUGCCAAGUCAUUGUGGAAGAAUGAGAAGUUAGAGAGAUUCCACAGGGGCUCUGCCAAGCACAUGAGAUGCUCAAGGAAGAAAACUCUGGCCUCUGGGUGACCUCAAUGUCUUUUGAGUCCUAAGUGCAGAAGCUGAAGAGGUGCCUGGGACUCUCACUGACCUGCCCACCUCUGCAGCAUGGCCUCCCAGUCCUGGUGAAAUCUUCGGCAUGAUGUUCAACUUCCAGAAUUCUGCCCUCAGUGUCAGGUGUGCAGGGUUCCAGGAUUGUCCAGACCUGGCGAAAUCUUGGUAUUUGUCCUUCCUGAAAGGGUAAGUUAUACUUAACAUGACAGAUAGAAGUCGGCCCUUGGAACAUUCCAUAGGAUUCUUUGUGACCCUCCACAGAAUGCCAUGAUGGGUCAGAUACUAUGUCACUGGCCAAUUCUCUCUCAGGAAUGGUGGUGGGAAGCCGGUGAAGAGAGGGACAGUCAGCUGGCAUCACGGAUUCCUCUUUGACCCUUCCCUGAGGUGGGCUGUAGCAGACAGUGGGACCCCACUUCACCAGACAUGGCUGGCUGGAGCAAGUGGAGUCUCGCUCUGUCACCAGGCUGGAGUGCAGUGGCAUGAUCUCGGCUCGCUGAAACCUCUGACUCCCUGAUUCAAGCUAUUCUCCUGCCUCAGCCCCCUGAGAAGCUGGGAUUACAGGCACCUGCCAUUGCGCCCAGCACAUUUUCUUUAACCUGGGUUUUGCUCUGUCACCCAGGCUGGAGUGCAGGGGUGCAAUCAUGGCUCACUACAGCCUUGACCUCCUGGGCUCAGGAGGUCACCUCAGCCUCCUGAAUAACUGGAACUACAGGUGUGCUACUGAUACAGAACAGCUGGGCUCCCACCUAAACCCCAGCCUCAAGCCUGGAACCUCUGCCUAAGUGAAAACAGCUGACCCCGCUUUUCUACCCAAAUGAUUGCCUUUUUGGCCUCCCACGACCCUAUCCUGUGCCCAUAAAAACCAGAUCGACUGGCAGAAGAAAAGGGCAACACAAGUGGCUGAUACAAGUUGUCGGGGAUAUAAGUAGCUGAGUGGCAAGUGGAGGAUAAACAACUUAGCACUGGAGACUAUGGACAAACGCGGCUCACUUCAGACAGUGCGGCCUCAGGGAAAGACCACCUUCUUCUUUGCCAGCUCCUCUUCCAUCAGCAGCUACUUCCACUGCUCAGUAAAGCCUGCAUUCAUCACCUUUCAAACAGUUUGUGUGACCUGAUUCUUUCUGGACACUGAGCAAGAACUUGGUUGUCAAAAAGGGCAGGUGCAGGAGGCUGUCACCCUGACCCUGCACUGAGCUGUUAACACUUAGCCAUCCACGGACUGCAGGCUAAGUGAAAUGAGCCAUGAAGGGGAUCAAGGUCAAGGGAACGAAUCCCAUCUUACUACCAUGCCCGGCUAAUUUUUGUAUUUUUUGUAGAGAUGGAAUUUCACCAUGUUACCCAGGCUCAUCUCAAACUCCUGGGCUCAAGUGAUCUGCUAAUCUCCCUAAUCAGAUUCGUUCUUAAGGAAAUGAAAAUUUAAUUUUUCAAAAUGUGAAAAAGACCAUCUUGUGCCCUAACCACCACACCCCCCCACCGGCAGCUCCUGCAGCACAAGUGCCCAGCACACCACUGUUUGUGGGAUGCACUCCACACAGGCUACAGUUCCACACUUACAGCUACAGGCCGGGAGGGAACUCCUGCACCAAUAGCCUGGAUCAUGGCGUCCUCUGGUAUUACUAUUCCAAAACCCUCAAAGAUAAGCCAUUCUUACCUUACAUGAGGUACAGCAGAAAUGUCUGGGCAGGGGUCAAGGCUUCCAAUACUGACCUGAAAUUGAUGAAACUUUGUGGAAUGUGGGGAGAUGUCACUGAUGAAGAAAAACAAAAAUAUUUAAAUGAAUAUGAGGCAACAAAGAUAGAGUAGAAUAAUUCUAUGAAGGUCUGUCAUAAUUUCCCCUUACACUUUGCUUACAUAAAUGCAAAAAAUUAAUGCAGAAUAUGCUUUAUUUUAUUUUUUUAGACAGUCUCACUCUGUCAUUUCAGGCUUGAGUCCAGUGCAGGAGUCACGGCUCACUGCAACCUCUGCCUCCUGGAUUCAAGCUAUUCUCCUGCCUCAGCAUCCUGAGUAGUUGGGAUUACAGGCAUGCACCACCAUGCCCAGAUAAUCUUUUGUAUUUUUAGUAGAGACUGGGUUUUGUCGUGUUGGCCAGGCUGGUCUUGAACUCCUGGCCUCAAGUGAUCCACCCACCCUGGCCUUCCAAAGCACUGGGAUAAUAGGUCUGAGCCACUGUGUCCAGGCAUAGAAGCUGCUUUAGAGGAAAGAAUUUGACAGAAGCCAUCUCACAUGGAGAAAGGAGAACCUCUGUUCUUUAUUGAUAAUGCCAAAUGCUGGCGAGGAUAUGGAGCAACAGGAACUCUCAUUCAUUCCUGGGGGAAUGCAAAUGGUUCAGCUCCUUUGGAAGGCAGUUUGACAGCUUCUUGCAAAAUUAAACAUACUCUUACCGUGGAACCCAGCAAUUUGCACUCCUUGGUAUUUUUUAAUUUUUUUGGUAGAGCACUCAGCCUGCUGAAGAUCCAGAUGUUUAUGAUGAUGGGUUACUUAUUUAACAGACUUUUAAAUGGUAGUUUUAGGUCCUCAGCAAAAUUGAGCAGACAGUACAGAGUUCCCUCACAUUCUUGUCCCCUCCAGCAUUCCCACUAUCAAUAUCAUGCACCAUGGUGGUAACAUUUGUUACAAUCAAUGAAUCUCCAUUAACACACCAUUUUCACCUAAAGUCUAGAAUUUUCAUCAAAGUCACUCUUGGUAUUGUACAUUCCAUAGAUUUGGACAAAUGUGAAAUGACGCCAGGCACGGUGGCACAUGCCUGUAGUCCCAGUUAUUUGGGAGGCUGAGGUGGGAGGAUCACUUGAGCCCAGGAGUUCUGGGCUAUAGUGCACUAUGCUGAUUGGGUGUCUGCACUAAGUUCGGCAUCAAUAUGGUGACCUCCCAGGAGCAGGGGACCACCAGGUUGCAUAAGGAGGGGUGAACCAGCCCAGGUCAGAAACAGAGCAGGUCUAAACUUCCAUGCUGAUCAGUAGUGGGAUCGUACCUGUGAAUAGCCACUGCACUCCAGCCUGGGCAACAUAGUGAGAUCCAGUCUCAAAAAAAAAAUAUGUAAUGACAGGUUUCCUUUAUAGUAUCAUGAGAGUAUUUUCGCUGCCUUAAACAUCCUCUGUGCUGUCUGCUCAUCUCUUCUUCCCUAAUCCCUGGUGACCACUGAUCUUUUUACUCUCUUCAUGGUCUUGCCUUUUCUAAAAUGUCAUAUGGUUGAAAUCACAUAGUAUGCAGUCCUUUCAGAGAGCUUCUCUCAUUUAGUGACAGGUAUUUAUGUUUCUUUAUAAUGCCAAAUAAUAGUUCAUUGUCUGGUUGUUUAUUUAUCCACUCACCUACUGAAAAACAUCUUCAUUACUUCCAAGUUUUGGCAACUAUGAAUAAAGCUGCUAUAAGCAUCCAUGUGUAGAUUUUUAUAUGAACAUAAAUAUUCAACUCAUUUGGAUAAAUACCAAGGAGUACAAUUGCUGUGCUGUAUGGUAAGAGUAUGUUUAAUUUGGAAAAAACUGCCAAACUGUCUUCCAAAGUAGCUGAACAAUUUUGCAUUCCCAUUAGCGAUGAAUGAGAGUUCCUGUGGCUCCAUAUCCUUGCCAACAUUUGGCAUUAUCAGAUUGGGUCUGGCCAUUUUGAUAGAUAUAUAGUGGUAUCUCAUUGUUUUAAUUUGCAAUUCCCUACAGACAUACAUGUUAAGCAUCUUUUUUUUUCUGAAAAAAAAAAGAGAGAGACAAGAUCUUGCCCUAUUGCCCAGGCUGGAGUGCAGUGACAUGAUUAUAGCUCAUGAGACUGCAGUCUCAGCCUCCUGAGAUCAAGCUAUGCUCCUGUCUCAGCUUCCUAAGUAACUGGGACUACAGAUGUGUACCACCAUGCCCAGCAGCUUUUCUUUUUUCUUUUUCUUUUUUUUUUUUUUUUUUGUAGAGACAGGGUUUCACUUUAUUGUGCAGGCUGGUCUUGAAUUCCUGACCUCAAGCCAUCCUCCCACCUCAGCCUUCCAGUGUUGGGAUUACAGUUAUGAGCCACUGUGGCUGGCCUGAGCAUCUUUUCCUAUGUUUAAUUGCCAUCUAUACAUCUUCUUUGGUAAAGUGUCUGUUCAAAUCUUCUGUCCAUUUUUAAAUCAAGUUGUUGGUUUUUUAAAUCAAGUUUAAAGGUUCUUUGUAAAUUUUGUAUAAGUCCUUUAUCAGAUAUGUCUUUUGCAAAUAUUUUUUUUUCUAGUCUGUGACUUGUCUUCCUGUGAAGAAUUAUUUCUUUCGUGGAUCACGCUUUUGGUAUCAUAUCUAAAAAGUUCUCACCAUACCCAAGCUCAGCUGGAUUUUCUCCUGUCUUUUUUUUUUUUUUUUUAACUCUGUCACCCAGGAUAGAGUGCAAUGGCACAAUCUUGGCUCACUGCAACCUCCACUUUCCAGGUUCAAGUGAUUCUCCUGCCUGAGCCUCCUGAGUAGCUGGGAUUACAGGUGCCUGACACAAUGCCUGGCUACUUUUUUUUUUUUUUUUUGUAUUUUUAGUAAAGAGGGGGUUUCACCAUGUUGGUUAGGCUUGUCUUAAACUCCUGACCUCAACUGAUCCGCCCACCUCAGCCUUCCAAAGUGCUAGGGUUACAGGUGUAAGUCACCGCGCCCGGCCCUAUGUUAUCUUUUAAUGAUGGCUUCUCAGUGAACCAUAGAGACAGUAUUCAUUUCCAGAGAAACUACCACUUCAUUGGUGGAUUACUUAAUAAGAGGACAUUGCCAGACAAUCAUCAGUUGUCACAACAGCUAGAAUGGAAGUUCUCAAACAACAAGAUCCAGUCCUUAAUGGUCCAUCAGCAAAAACUAAAAGCCAAAUUUUUUCAAAUAGAAGAGGAACAUCAAGAAAAGAAAAAGAAAUUCCUGGAAAGCACAGAUUUAUCUAAGAAUAAACUUUAAAGGUUUAUUAAAGGUUGUGUGGAUUGAAAGUUCAAGUGAGUAUGGAGAAAAUUGCAGUUGACAAGGCAGAGGCAGAGGAACAAAACUACAAAAGGCAGAAAAAAGGGAGAAAGAGGUGGCAGAGAAAGCUGAAUGCCUCAGAGCAGAACUUUCUGAGGAAGAGCAGGUGGCUGAUAAAACCAAAGAAAAGAAGAGAGCAAGAGUGUUCCAGUGGAGACCACCUUGAAGAAAUGCCAGAAAGCCAACGGACUGGUGAAUAAGGCACAUCUACUGAGGAUAAGGUGAGUGGACAGGAGGGAAUCAAUCAUGCAGCAGAGGAAGGAACCAGUGGGAGUAUCAUUGGCUCAUAGGGCAACAGUGCCACAGGGAGGAAGUCACUGACAGAUCCCUUACCAGUAGAGGAGAAAAAAGAAUAAAGAUUGUCUAGUUUCCAUUUUAUUGUUGUUGUUUUGAGAUGGAGUCUCACUCUGUCUCUCCCAGGCUAGAGUGCAGUGGCACGAUCUUGGCUUGCUGCAAACUCCACCUCCCAGGUUCAAGCAAUUCUCCUGCCUCAGUCUCCUGAGUGGCUGGGAUUACAGGUGCCAGCCACCACACCUGGCUAAUUUUUGUAUUUUUAGUAGAGACGGGGUUUCACCAUGUUGGUCAGGCUGGUCUCGAACUCCUGACCUAGGUGAUUCACCAGCCUUCGCCUCCCAAAGUGCUGGGAUUACAGACAUGAGCCACCAUAAUCAGCCAAAAUUGUCUAGUUUUAUGUAUUCUAAAUACUUUUAUAAGUUCAUGGAGAAAAAUUCAGAAGGACUCCUCUCACCAUCACCAUAUAUCCAGGUUUGGGCACCAGAGUGAAGUUUGACUGGUCAGAUGCUCUUGCCCAAGACUAUGAGUCCUACAGGAAAGACACAGGAGAGGAGGAAAUGGAGGGAGGUCGUCCACCCAGCAGUGGGAGAGCCUGACCAGACUGUUUUGGUGUGAGGCUGUUCCAUUGCUCCUCCUCCUUUCUGGCCCCCUGGUUCUCUAGCUUUCAGGGACUCCUUCCAAUACAUUGCAUUUUGCUUAAGUUAUCCAUUUAAGUUAAAAUUGGUUUCUUUUCCUUGCAAUCAGGAAACCUAAAUGAAACGUGCCAGCCACAAUUCAACAUUUUCUCCCAGUGCAAUGAUGAUAAACUAGAGUUGCUUAUCCCAACUUCAAAUUCCUGGGAGAACCAAUCUGAUUGGCCAGCUUGAUUUAGAUCUCCACUGCUGGGCCAGUCACUCUGGCUUCUGAGGAAGGAAGGCAAGGUCACAUGAUGCUAAUAAGGCUAAUGGGAGGCUGGCAGGGCAGUAUCCACAUUUGUUUAUGUAGGCUGUGCAGUGGAUAGCUCCAAGGGUCUCAUUCACAUGAUAGACACUGUAAAUACCUGUAUUCAUAAUGAAACCAUUUUAGCAGAUGGCAAUAAAGUACGCUGAGAAAGGGUCACUUUUUCCUAAUACUCAUAUAGGUGUUCCAUGGGAUAGUGGUGACUCCAGGCUGGGCCCACUCCUCAGCAGGAAAGCGUUUGGUAGGCAGCUCUUAGAAAAGAUAGCACAGGUUGGGUAUGUCCCAGUGCUGUGUUCUACAUGUUACACAUAGUGGAGUGGGUCUUGUGCCCUUGAUGUUUGGAGCACACAUACCAUAUCCUCUUAAUAUGCAGUAACUGGCUAUGAGGCACUCAAUGUUUAGAAAGUCAAGGCUUUAGAAUGAAAGAGGAUGAGAUGCAGACAAGCCAGGCCCUACUCUGGGAAUUCAGAGCUGCUGUACAGACCAAUCUCAGCCAAACCCAGCAAAAAGUUUAUUUACUCUGCAGCUACCUUAAAGAAGGUUCAUUCAUUCAACUAAUGGCUGUGUGUCAGUUCUGUGCUAUGGGCUGGGAGCAGAACAGGAAUAAGAGUCAGGGUCGAAGGGCGCGGUGAUUCACACCUGUAAUCCCAGCACUUUGGGAGGCCAAGGCGGGCGAAUCACCUGAAGUCAGGAGUUCAAGACCAGCCUGGCCCACAUAGCAAAACCUCAUCUGUACUACAAAUACAAAACUUAGUUGGGUGUGGUGUGAUGUGCGUGUAAUCCCAGCUACCUGAGAGGCUGAGGCACGAGAAUCACUUGAACCUGAGAGGCAGAGGUUGCAGUGAGCCAAGAUUGCACCACUGCACUCCAGCUUGGGUGACAGAUUGAAACUAUCUCCCAAAAAAACAAAAACAACAAUGUGGGAAGUAGAAAAGUUCCUUUUUAAAGUGUGCUAACAACUUUGUUAAGCCCUAUCCUAUGUAGCUGUUAGACAUGCCAUGCUUACAGGCACGGGGUACGCUCUAUGUCCUUGUACUUUAACUAAGAUAUCUGUGCUGGAUGUGCUCACAGGCAUGUCCCAGCUCUCCACUGCUUUUACCUGUUUAGAAACAUUUUAAGUUAGGCGGGCGGAUCACGAGGUCGAGAGAUUGAGACCAACCUGGUCAAUAUGGUGAAACCCCGUCUCUACUAAAAAUACAAAAAAUUUGCUGGGCAUGGUGGCACGUGCCUGUAAUCCCAGCUACUCAGGAGGCUGAGGCAGGAGAAUUGUCUGAACCCAGGAGGCGGGGGUUGCAGUGAGCCGAGAUCGCGCCAUUGCACUCCAGCCUGGGUAACAAGAGCGAAACUCUGUCUCAAAAAAAAAAAAAAAAAAGAAAAGAAAAGUUUUAAGUUGUUAGCCAAUCGGGUUUUAGUUUAGAUUGUGAGGUCUGGCUCCAACCAACAGAGAUGAGAUACGGCAUUGAGGACAACCCCAAAUGCAUAAGGGAUAAAUUUAUGUGUGUUCCUUUAUUCAUUGUACUCUCAUGGCAUGAUGGCUAGUGGGAGAGCCCUUCCUGCAGUCCAGGAAGUAAAAAUCGUGUUGCUGAAAGAUCCUUUGUCCUAGUACUAAUUUUUCUUUGCAACACCAAGCAUCUAUUUCCAACAACAUGAAAAAAAGAGUCAGAGUCUAGUCUAGUAGGGGAGACAGUCAUGGAGCAAAUAUUUACUAAGUGAUGGGCGUUCUGGAAGGGAGCUGCCCAGGGUAUUGGGAGAAUGCUGGCACAAUAAGAGGAUCAGAUUUAUCUAGAAGUCAGGAAAAACCAAAGGGUGAGUGAAGUACAGCCUAGUGAAAAGCAAUGUAGGCUAGAUGAGGUGGGAUUUUUUUAAGCUAUAAGGCAAAUUUCUGUUAGAAACUAAAAAUUGCAAUGUGUCAGAUAAGGUAGAAGUUCUUCUCUCUCCCAUAAUGGUCUACAAGAGGAUAGGAGUUCAAGACCAGUGGCAGCUUGGCUCCAGAAAGGCAGACCAAAAUAACAGUGGAUUACCCAAAGGAGAAAUGUACUUCUCUUUCUCAUAUAGAGGUCCAGAGCUAUAGAGGGCAGGUUUGGUGCAGAAACUUCUCCGUGAAAUUCUCAGAAACUGUAUCUACCAGGGCUCAACUAGGGAAGCAGAACCAGUGCAAAUAUCAUGGAAUUAAUGAUUAUUUUAGGAAUGAGACUUUGCACAGUUGUUGGAGGAGAUGGAGAAGAGAAGGUCACAAAGGGAGUUGUAGGAUGGUGGGAAAAUCACUUCUCAGCCCUUGGAAAGCACGGGUUGGGGGUGAUGGGGAGGAGAUGAACUGGAGCUUGCUGGAAAAUGAGGAAGCAAAGUAUUAUCUUGCUUCCUGGAGUGGAAGAGAGAAAGGGAGCUGCUAUAAAAAAUCAACAGAAGAUUGUCGCUUCUUCAUAGAUCCUACUUCUGUGAGUUCUCUGCUGGUGAUGAGGAUGUCAGAGGAAAAAGCUGAUCACAGAGUCAGGAAGAAGAGUAAGAAUGAAGUGGAGGCCAGAUGGUGGCUCAUGCCUGUAACCCAGCACUCUGAGCGACAAAGUGAGACCUUGUUUCUACCAAAAUAAAAAUGAAAAAACUAGUCAGGCAUUUUGGUACAUGCCUGUGGUCCCAGUUAAACAGAAGGCUGAAGCAGGAGGAUCCCUUGAGCCCAGAAGGUCAAGAGUGCAGUGAGCCAUGUUCAUGUCCCUGCAUCCCAGCCUGGGCAACAGAGUAAAACACUGUCUCAAAACAAACAAGCAAGCAAAACAAUCGGAACUCUGGAAACUUUGCAUCUCUUUCUCAUGACAACCUUCAGAAGCAUAAAACCUUAAGACAUGCUUUACUUCCAACUUCCAAAUCUUGAGUAAAUUUCCUCAGGCCAACUCUAACCCAGAAUCAUACAGGGAAGGGUAUUCUGGGAAAAGCAGUCCCAGCUUAACCAAGGUGACACAGUGCAAAACCUCUAUGGCGACCCAGACCCCGUCGUUCACCACUUGACAUUCCCUCCUCCUGCUAAUUCCUCCAUUUCGGGCCUCCAGAGGAAGGAGUCAGCCUUGGGGAGUGGUAUUUCAGGAGCAGCAGAACCUGGAGUGAAACACAACAGGUUCAUCCAAAGGCACAUCCCCUUCUUAAGUAAACUGGGAGGGAAGGGGUAGGAGAGGACGUUGGGGUGUGGCAGAAUUAGACCCAGAUAGUAAAUACCUCCCCAGGUACAUAUCACCAGCCAAGGAAAUGACACAUCCAGAAAGAAAAACAAUACAUCUGAGUAAUGUAAUCCCUUUAAAAGAGAACCCCUAAAAUGAAGAAUCUAUAUGAGAUGAAGCAGAAUUAAUGGACCAGUGAGAACAAGAAUUUAAAAUAAUCCUAAUAGGCUGGGUGCAGUGAUUCAUGCUUAUAAUCCCAGCACUUUGGGGGGCCAAGGCAGGCAGAUUGCCUGAGCUCAGGAGUUUGAGACCAGCCUGGCCAAUGUGGCAAAACCCCAUCUCUACUAAAAAUACAAAAAAUUAGCCUGUGUGGUAGCACAUGCCUGUAAUCCCAGCCACUCAGGAGGUUGAGGCGGGAGGAUCACUUGAGCCAGAGCUGGGUUGCACUCCAGCCUGGACCCUGCCUACAUCUCUGAAGAUACUCACUUCGUGACCCUGCGAUUCUUCUCCUCAUUACAUAUCCCAGAGAAGUGUGUGCUUGUGUGUAUUAGGACUCUGAACCCCAAACUGGAAACGACCCCAAUGUUCAUCAAUAAUAAAAUGAAUAUAGUAUAUUCAAUGGAAUCUUAUACAAUUAAUGAAAAUAAAUGAAUGACAACUACACACAACAUAGGAAAAUAUUAAAAUAGAAUGUUGGCAACUUCACACCCAUCAGGAUGACUACUACUAUAUUUACCUCUUUUUUAAAAAAACUAGUCAAGCUUGGUUAUGGAGGGAAACAAUGUUAAU
Long non-coding RNA from Callithrix jacchus (white-tufted-ear marmoset), 10708 nucleotides. RefSeq lists it as uncharacterized. The record is from RefSeq and is a predicted model, not a curated record. NCBI's taxonomy places the organism in Eukaryota, Metazoa, Chordata, Mammalia, Primates, Cebidae.